Molecule: ribosomal RNA, 292 nt
Filed under: uncultured bacterium
Lineage: Bacteria
Description: partial 16S ribosomal RNA
Rfam family: Bacterial small subunit ribosomal RNA
Source: RNAcentral
GUGUCAGCAGCCGCGGUAAGACGAACCGUGCAAACGUUAUUCGGAAUCACUGGGCUUAAAGGGCGCGUAGGCGGGCGACCAAGUCUGUGGUGAAAUCCUCCAGCUCAACUGGAGAACUGCCGCGGAUACUGGUUGUCUCGAGGGAGGUAGGGGCGCGCGGAACACUAGGUGGAGCGGUGAAAUGCGUUGAUAUCUAGUGGAACUCCGGUGGCGAAGGCGGCGCGCUGGACCUCUUCUGACGCUGAGGCGCGAAAGCCAGGGGAGCGAACGGGAUUAGAUACCCCAGUAGUCC